Molecule: ribosomal RNA, 253 nt
Filed under: uncultured bacterium
Lineage: Bacteria
Description: partial 16S ribosomal RNA
Rfam family: Bacterial small subunit ribosomal RNA
Source: RNAcentral
UACAGAGGUCCCAAGCGUUGUUCGGAUUCACUGGGCGUAAAGGGUGCGUAGGUGGCUUGGUAAGUUUGAUGUGAAAUCUCCGGGCUUAACCCGGAAAUGGCAUUGAAUACUAUUGAGCUGGAGGUUUGGAGGGGGGACUGGAAUUCUCGGUGUAGCAGUGAAAUGCGCAGAUAUCAGGAGGAACACCGGUGGCGAAGGCGGAUCUCUGGGCCAUUACUGACGCUGAGGAGCGAAAGCGUGGGGAGCGAACAGG